RNAcentral lists this ribosomal RNA (253 nucleotides) under uncultured bacterium. RNAcentral describes it as "partial 16S ribosomal RNA". It matches the Rfam family "Bacterial small subunit ribosomal RNA", at positions 524 to 776 of the family's 1533-position model. The record is from RNAcentral.
UACGGGGGGGGCAAGCGUUGUUCGGAAUUACUGGGCGUAAAGGGCUCGUAGGCGGCCAACUAAGUCAGACGUGAAAUCCCUCGGCUUAACCGGGGAACUGCGUCUGAUACUGGAUGGCUCGAGUUUGGGAGAGGGAUGCGGAAUUCCAGGUGUAGCGGUGAAAUGCGUAGAUAUCGGGAGGAACACCAGUGGCGAAGGCGACUUUCUGGCCUGUUCUUGACGCUGAGGCGCGAAAGCUAGGGGAGCAAACGGG